Molecule: non-coding RNA, 29 nt
Filed under: Mus musculus (house mouse)
Lineage: Eukaryota; Metazoa; Chordata; Mammalia; Rodentia; Muridae
Source: RNAcentral
UGAGGAACAGUGUCUUUUCCNCUACAAGC